UCGGGCCUGCCCCCUGACAACUGUAUUAAAGGGCCGCGGUAUUUUGACCGUGCAAAGGUAGCAUACGGUAUUUUGACCGUGCAAAGGUAGCAUAAUCAUUAGUCUUUUAAUUGAAGGCUGGUAUGAAUGGUUUGACGAAAUAUAAGCUGUCUCUGUAUAAUAUUAUAUAAUUUAACUUUUGGGUUAAAAGGCCUAAAUAUUUAUAAAAGACGAGAAGACCCUAUAGAGCUUUAUAUUUAAUUAUAUCUAAUAUUGUUUAGUAGUAAUGUUUAUAGAUAUAAAUUAUAUAUUUUGUUGGGGUGACAUAAAGAUAUAAUUAACUCUUUACUAUUAAGUACAUUAAUUUAUGAAUAUAUGAUCCAUUAUUAGUGAUUAUAAGAUAAAGUUACCUUAGGGAUAACAGCGUAAUUUUUUUUGAGAGUUCUUAUCGACAAGAAAGAUUGCGACCUCGAUGUUGGAUUAAGGAAUAUGACUAGGUGUAGAAGUUUAGUUUUAUAAGUCUGUUCGACUUUUAAAUCCUUACAUGAUCUGAGUUCAGACCGGCGUAAGCCAGGUCGGUUUCUAUCUUUAUAUACAUAUAAUAAAUACUUUAGUACGAAAGGACCAAGUAUUUGAAAAAUUUUUUUUAGUAAAUGAUUAUUAUUAA
Molecule: ribosomal RNA, 646 nt
Filed under: Calliphona palmensis
Lineage: Eukaryota; Metazoa; Arthropoda; Insecta; Orthoptera; Tettigoniidae
Description: partial 16S ribosomal RNA
Rfam family: Bacterial large subunit ribosomal RNA
Source: RNAcentral